This 275-nucleotide ribosomal RNA is filed under the name uncultured bacterium. RNAcentral's name for it is "partial 16S ribosomal RNA". It matches the Rfam family "Bacterial small subunit ribosomal RNA", at positions 338 to 608 of the family's 1533-position model. The record is from RNAcentral.
CCUACGGGUGGCAGCAGUCGGGAAUUUUGGGCAAUGGGCGCAAGCCUGACCCAGCAACGCCGCGUGAAGGAUGAAGCUUUUCGGAGUGUAAACUUCAUAAGAAUGGGACGAAUAAAGGUGGGCUAACACCCCAUCCUAUGACGGUACCAUUUGUAAGCUCCGGCUAACUCCGUGCCAGCAGCCGCGGUAAUACGGGGGGAGCAAGCGUUGUUCGGAUUUACUGGGCGUAAAGGGCGCGUAGGCGGCGCAACAAGUCACUUGUGAAAUCUCCGGGC